UUGAUGCUCCAGUCCUAAUGUAGUGAUGGAAGAUUAACUUCCUCCUUUUCUUUUGAGUUCUAACUCUUCUGAUAAAAUAUUCAUGGCAGUUCUUCUUUUGUAGAUCACCUUUAAAGCUCCUCAAGCUGGAGUAUAUGUGCCUCUGAUGAUUCAUGGGAUUUUUUUAAUUUUCAAAGUUGUGUCCGCUACUUUUGGCUCUUCUCCUGGGAAUAUGCAUCCAGGCUGCCUUAAAGUUAGCAGAACUCAAGAAGAAAACUUGAAGCAGAGACUGUAACAAAACAAGUGGUAAGGAACAACUGUAUUUUCCUUGAUGGUAUCGAAAAACCGUAGUACUUAACUCCAACAGUUGUGAGGAUGUCUCCUCUUAAUUGUGUGAAGAAUCGGUGUCCUGGUCCUUUCAGCUGAUUUUCUUUUGGAUGAGAUCUGGCUUCCCCCACAGGACUUACACCGGUCUCAACUCUGCCCCUGACCACAGCAGCUCCUUAGCAUUACUGCUCUCCUUCAGCAGCAGACAGAUAUGUCACCAGGACACCUCAUUCAAACAAAGUCUGCCUUUGCAAAA
Long non-coding RNA from Bubalus bubalis (water buffalo), 562 nucleotides. RefSeq lists it as uncharacterized. The record is from RefSeq and is a predicted model, not a curated record. The transcript is spliced from 3 exons. NCBI's taxonomy places the organism in Eukaryota, Metazoa, Chordata, Mammalia, Artiodactyla, Bovidae.